GAAUUGCUUGGCGAACUGCUGAACUUGAGGCAAGUAGGGGUGCAUGGAACUCUUGGUGGAGCGGUGGAAUGCGUAGAUAUCAAGAGGAACGCCUGCGGUGAAAACGGUGCACUGGGCUUGCCCUGACGCUCAGAUGCGAAAGCGUGGGGAGCAAACGGGAUUAGAUACCCCGGUAGUCCACGCCCUAAACGAUGCCUACUAGGUCACGGGAAUUCCGACAUUUCCGGGGCCGAAGCAAAAGUGUUAAGUAGGCCGCCUGGGGAGUACGGUCGCAAGGCUAAAACUCAAAGGAAUUGACGGGGGCUCACACAAGCGGUGGAGCAUGUGGAUUAAUUCGAAGCAACGCGCAGAACCUUACCAGGGUUUGACAUGGUCGGAUGCCUUGCUGGAAACAGUAUAGGCUGCCCGCAAGGGUGAAACUUUCACAGGUGCUGCAUGGCUGCCGUCAGCUCGUGUCGUGAGAUGUCGGGUUAAGUCCCUUAACGAGCGAAACCCUUGUCGUUAGUUACCAGCGUAAAGUCGGGAACUCUAACGAGACUGCCGGUGUUAAACCGGAGGAAGGUGGGGAUGACGUCAAGUCCUCAUGGCCUUUAUGCCCUGGGCCUCACACGUGCUACAAUGGCGCCUAUAAAGCGACGCAAGGCCGCAAGGCGGAGCAAAUCGCAAAAAAGUCGCCCCAGUUCAGAUUGCAGGCUGUCAACUCGUCUGCAUGAAGUUGGAAUCGCUAGUAAUCGCGUAUCAGCUAUGACGCGGUGAAUGUGUUCCUGAGCCUUGUACACACCGCCCGUCAAGUGAUGGGAGCCGGUAGUACCCGAAGUCGGGUGCAAACCGCAAGAAGCGCCUGCCGACGGUAA
Molecule: ribosomal RNA, 854 nt
Filed under: uncultured Planctomycetota bacterium
Lineage: Bacteria; Pseudomonadati; Planctomycetota
Description: bacterial SSU rRNA
Rfam family: Bacterial small subunit ribosomal RNA
Source: RNAcentral